This 375-nucleotide ribosomal RNA is filed under the name uncultured bacterium. RNAcentral describes it as "bacterial SSU rRNA". It matches the Rfam family "Bacterial small subunit ribosomal RNA", at positions 524 to 898 of the family's 1533-position model. The record is from RNAcentral.
UACGUAGGUCCCGAGCGUUGUCCGGAUUUAUUGGGCGUAAAGCGAGCGCAGGCGGUUAGAUAAGUCUGAAGUUAAAGGCUGUGGCUUAACCAUAGUACGCUUUGGAAACUGUUUAACUUGAGUGCAAGAGGGGAGAGUGGGAUUCUAUGCGUAGCGGUGAAAUGCGUAGAUAUAUGGAGGAACACCGGUGGCGAAAGCGGCUCUCUGGCUUGUAACUGACGCUGAGGCUCGAAAGCGUGGGGAGCAAACAGGAUUAGAUACCCUGGUAGUCCACGCCGUAAACGAUGAGUGCUAGGUGUUAGACCCUUUCCGGGGUUUAGUGCCGCAGCUAACGCAUUAAGCACUCCGCCUGGGGAGUACGACCGCAAGGUUGAA